ACUAGUCAGUUGGAGGAGGAACCAGUAGAGGAAACUGAAAAAGAAAAGAGAAACGAGAAAAAGCCAGAGAAACGAGAGAAAGACCCAUAGAUUGCAGGGUCAGUGAAACCAGAAAAGGGAUUAUUCCAUUGCUGCAGAUGAGGAAAUUGAAGAAUAAGGAGGACAGACCCAAGACCAAAGACGGAGAAACUGAGAAAACAAGGAUGCAUUAAUUCUAAAGCCGGGGUUAGUUUGGUCAACAUCCAUGGAGAAGGUAUUUUUUCAAUCUACAACAUCAAAAACUCUACAAAGGACUUGAAGAAUCAUGGCUUAAGACUUUAAAGGAUUGUCGAUAGCAAUGUUCAGCCACAAAGAUGACUUAGUAGUCUCUGCUCUUCUGUUUUAUCCAGAUUGUCCAGAACACAGACCACAAAACUGGCUCAGCCUUAGCCUCCCUGAGCAUAUGAUGAGAGCCAUGUGUUUUCUGGACAAGCACCUCCUUGGUAUUCUAGGGAGAAGUCUGCAAGAAAAACAGAUAUAUACCACUUCGGAGGAAAUUCAUUCUAAUAUAGGUUGGUUUUAUAUAUUCAGUUCUUUGAAGAAGACCAACAUCAUAUAAAAUGAAGGACAUUAUUUACUUCCCCUUCCUGUAACAGGAUUACAUGUCAUGGACCUGUGACUUGUACCUCCUGCAGAAAGAUGUGCUUCCUAUGUUCUUGACAUUGAGUUUAUCCUUACAACUUGCUUUGGCAUAGCAUGUCAACAGAUGUGAUGAGCCCCAUAACCAAAUACAAUUCCUAAGAGCUCUUGUGUGUUUCUGUCAACCCUGUUUCUCUUUUUCUUCAGCCUAAAGAAAGGAAUUGUCCAUAUUAAGAUCCCUCCUUCAGCCUCCUAGGAUAAAAGACACGUGGAGAAGAGUAGAACCAUCCUUGAACUUCAGUCAACAUAGAAGAUAAACAAGAAACACACUUUUGUUCUUACGAUCCACAGCAAUUUCUGGGAUCACUUGUUACUACAGGACAGAUACAAAUACAAGAAACAAAAUUAACAAUCUGAACAAGGAAAACUGGAAGGAGCAUAAAUAAUUUAAGAGACAAAAAAAAUUCAAGUUCAUAACAGGAAGCUUCAGAUUAUUUUGAGAAAAUAUAUUCAUAAUCAAGAUUAUG
Long non-coding RNA from Ictidomys tridecemlineatus (thirteen-lined ground squirrel), 1145 nucleotides. RefSeq lists it as uncharacterized. The record is from RefSeq and is a predicted model, not a curated record. NCBI's taxonomy places the organism in Eukaryota, Metazoa, Chordata, Mammalia, Rodentia, Sciuridae.